UAGUGCCAGGGCUCCCACUGCUGACAAAACCUAUUGCCGUCUCCAUCAGUUCGCUUUUCCCAUGAGCCACUGCGCAACGCUUUCUUACACAGCAAGAAAGCAAAUCGUGACUCUUCCCAUUAUUAACGCCAUCAUUUCUAAUACAGAUCAAUUGAUCCCAAUUACAAACACGUUUCCGAGCCGGAACAAGCACUUUACAUUUUGCUUUCCAUGUGCAACAGGCCGUUAGCGCCACACUCACUACCACACAAAAACAACAAGUCCCAGUCACAGACUGCGUGUUUUUUGUUUUGCACUUCUUCGGCAGUGUGCGAUUUGGGACGUAGCCUGAAUUUCGCGGGAGAAAGUUGCGGAAGGAAAAUACCUGAGGUGUCAUUUAAUGCGGAAGGGGAUUUAUCGCACCGCUGUGCUCAUACAAAAGGAGCAAAUCAUGGGGCUGGAAAACGAAUUACAGUUCUGCUCUUAUCGUCUCUGAACCUGCUCCGUACCUACAGAAACACAAAAGCCACACGUCCCCCGGUGUUCAGCCGGCUGGAUAAGAAUGACUGUUGGCAUCAGGAGCCAGUGAGCGUAUGAAAUAUGAAACACGUUUCCCAGUGGUGAGACAGCCGGGCCUCCCAGCCGCACGCCUGCAGGCAGGACUUCAGGAAAAGUCACAUUUGUCUGUCAGUUUGAACCAGAAUACAGAAGCAAAGAAUGGACUGAUGAAGAAUGAGCCAGAAUGGAGAGAGAGAGAGAGAGAGAAACAGGAAUGCCUGGUGCUGAAGCAGAUUAGAACAGCCCAGAGCGAAUAAAAAUUAGCGGUAUCGUUGCAAGAAAUAUCUUCCCAUGCUUACCGAAAUUGAAUGUCUGUGUUGGCAAUUGACAAUGCCAUUUGUUCAAGGACUUGAAGUGUCUGGAAAUGUGACAGUGACAGAUCUGUGCAUCACUGACAAGAAGACUUUCCACAUCAACCCUGCAGUCCUGGAAAUGUUUUUCUGUCUGCGAUGAAUUGGAAGAAAGGACCAAGACACUGGAAGGACCUCAUGGCCAGAAGUCACCGAUGUGUGUCUGACCAGUUGCAGAGCGGGGACAGAUGGAGCGGGAGAAGUGAGGGAUUAGAAUGGUAUUCCGUCCACGCUGAGAGGCUCGGCCUUGAGAACAUGGAAGCUGUGACUUCAGCGGUUGCCGCCACUCCUACUUGCUUGUAUUCUGACAGUGACUGCUGUAUGUUCAGCAUAAUUGGAAGAAGAGAGAAUAAAUUGUUGAAGAACUGAAGAAACACAUCAUGUCCGACCUUCAUCAGCUCUGAAGGCGACUUCCUGUAGUUCAGCGUAAUUGAAAGAAGAGAGGAUAAAUCGUUUAUGGAGGAGACGGAGCGGUCAGUGACCUGGCCCCCGGCUGGUUGGAUGGAUCGUGGGGUAAAAGCAGGGAGCCCAUGCCUGGGACGGAGCCUUCAGCCUGGG
Molecule: long non-coding RNA, 1445 nt
Organism: Ictalurus punctatus (channel catfish)
Lineage: Eukaryota; Metazoa; Chordata; Actinopteri; Siluriformes; Ictaluridae
Exons: 6
Source: RefSeq, a predicted model, not a curated record